CGUAGUCCUCGGACCGAGCGUAGUACUCGUCGGGGCUCAGGGCUCCCCAGAAGUUGGACCACAGCUUCCCGUGGCGGGACAGCAUGGGCGCUAUCACCUUCCUGUGGAUGGGCAGAGGAUGCGCAGGGUCUGCUGGUUGGUGAUGACGGCGUCAGCAUCCAGGCUGAAGUAGAAUUCGCACUCGGGGUCCUGCCGACAGCUGUCCCUGGAGGAUUGCUGGAUUAAACGAAAUUACAGAAGUAGAGCCCCGACCCAGAGCCUUGGCACAAACCCGAAGGCGCCUGGAACAUCCCAAGCCCCACCACUCUUGGCCCCUCAGCCUUGGGCACUCUGCCACUCACCACCAGAGUUGAGGAAGCGCUUCCCCGUGCCCACCUCAGGGUA
Molecule: long non-coding RNA, 384 nt
Organism: Leopardus geoffroyi (Geoffroy's cat)
Lineage: Eukaryota; Metazoa; Chordata; Mammalia; Carnivora; Felidae
Exons: 4
Source: RefSeq, a predicted model, not a curated record